UACGCAGGGGGCUAGCGUUGCUCGGAAUUACUGGGCGUAAAGGGAGCGUAGGCGGGUUAUCAAGUUGGAGGUGAAAGCCCAGGGCUCAACCUUGGAAUUGCCUUCAAAACUGAUAGCCUAGAGUAUGAUAGAGGUAAGUGGAACUCCGAGUGUAGAGGUGAAAUUCGUAGAUAUUCGGAAGAACACCAGUGGCGAAGGCGACUUACUGGAUCAUGACUGACGCUGAGGCUCGAAAGCGUGGGGAGCAAACAGG
This 253-nucleotide ribosomal RNA is filed under the name uncultured bacterium. Its description in RNAcentral is "partial 16S ribosomal RNA". It matches the Rfam family "Bacterial small subunit ribosomal RNA", at positions 524 to 776 of the family's 1533-position model. The record is from RNAcentral.